AACUAUUUAAAGGGUUGGGUUUUGGUUCGGGUGGGUUAGCUAAUGGUGUAGGUGGUUUAGGUGGUGGUCUGAGUGCGUUGAUGUAAUCAUUAUCGAUUGAGGGUAACCGCACUCGGUAUGUCAGAGGUGCCCGUCGAUCGAUGGGAGGUGUGUUGUGACGAUCGACGUUGGACUCACUCUGUCGAUCGAUGGUUGGCUCAACC
Molecule: long non-coding RNA, 203 nt
Filed under: Brassica napus (rape)
Lineage: Eukaryota; Viridiplantae; Streptophyta; Magnoliopsida; Brassicales; Brassicaceae
Description: long non-coding RNA (BNAP_LNC003003)
Source: RNAcentral